GCGCACGCUGGCGGCAGGCCUCACACCUGCCAGUCGAACGAACUCUUCGGAGUUAGUGGCGGACGGGUGAGUAACACGUGGGAACGUGCCUUUUGGUUCGGAAUAACUCAGGGAAACUUGUGCUAAUACCGAAUGUGCCCUUCGGGGGAAAGAUUUAUCGCCAUUAGAGCGGCCCGCGUCUGAUUAGCUAGUUGGUGAGGUAACGGCUCACCAAGGCGACGAUCAGUAGCUGGUCUGAGAGGAUGACCAGCCACACUGGGACUGAGACACGGCCCAGACUCCUACGGGAGGCAGCAGUGGGGAAUCUUGCGCAAUGGGCGAAAGCCUGACGCAGCCAUGCCGCGUGAAUGAUGAAGGUCUUAGGAUUGUAAAAUUCUUUCACCGGGGACGAUAAUGACGGUACCCGGAGAAGAAGCCCCGGCUAACUUCGUG
RNAcentral lists this ribosomal RNA (432 nucleotides) under uncultured bacterium. RNAcentral's name for it is "partial 16S ribosomal RNA". It matches the Rfam family "Bacterial small subunit ribosomal RNA", at positions 29 to 507 of the family's 1533-position model. The record is from RNAcentral.